GCGUUAGGCUGACCGGGAACUAGAAAGGGAACUCCAAGUGUCCAGCGGAAGCUUUACGAGCUCUCCGGAGCUGAAUCGUGCUCGGCGUAACUCGCCCGCCCGCUGCAAGGUGAAUAGUGACACUCCAAGUGGCCGACGGAAGUUUUCCAAGCGGUCUCCGGCUGAAUCGUAGUCCGCGUAGCUAACCCGCAGCCAGAUUUGGACACCGGGACGGACGGCGUUAGGCUGACCGGGAACUAGAAAGGGAACUCCAAGUGUCCAGCGGAAGCUUUACGAGCUCUCCGGAGCUGAAUCGUGCUCGGCGUAACUCGCCCGCCCGCUGCAAGGUGAAUAGUGACACUCCAAGUGGCCGACGGAAGUUUUCCAAGCGGUCUCCGGCUGAAUCGUAGUCCGCGUAGCUAACCCGCAGCCAGAUUUGGACACCGGGACAGACGGCGUUAGGCUGACCGGGAACUAGAUUGAAAAGGCGAUCUCCAAGUGGCCACCAAUGACGAGUCCGUGGACCGUACGGCGUAGGAAGAGGAAGAUGCGGAGGCUCAA
Long non-coding RNA from Culex quinquefasciatus (southern house mosquito), 540 nucleotides. RefSeq lists it as uncharacterized. The record is from RefSeq and is a predicted model, not a curated record. The transcript has 3 exons. Lineage: Eukaryota; Metazoa; Arthropoda; Insecta; Diptera; Culicidae.